This 458-nucleotide ribosomal RNA is filed under the name uncultured bacterium. RNAcentral describes it as "bacterial SSU rRNA". It matches the Rfam family "Bacterial small subunit ribosomal RNA", at positions 106 to 559 of the family's 1533-position model. The record is from RNAcentral.
GUGAGUAACGCGUAGGAAUCUACCUAUUAUAAGGGGAUACCCCGGGGAAACUCGGAUUAAUACCGUAUACCUCCUUUGGGAGAAAGAGGGCCUCUCUUUGAUGCUCUCGCUACUAGAUGAGCCUGCGUAAGAUUAGCUAGUUGGUGAGGUAAUGGCUCACCAAGGCGACGAUCUUUAGCUGGUCUGAGAGGACGAUCAGCCACAUUGGGACUGAGACACGGCCCAGACUCCUACGGGAGGCAGCAGUAGGGAAUAUUGGACAAUGAGCGCAAGCUUGAUCCAGCCAUACCGCGUGUGUGAAGAAGGCUUUCGGGUUGUAAAGCACUUUAAGCAGGGAGAAAAAGUUAUAGGCUAAUACCCUAUGACCGUGAUGUUACCUGCAGAAUAAGCACCGGCUAAUUCCGUGCCAGCAGCCGCGGUAAUACAGAAGGUGCAAGCGUUAAUCGGAAUUACUGGGC